This 496-nucleotide ribosomal RNA is filed under the name uncultured bacterium. Its description in RNAcentral is "partial 16S ribosomal RNA". It matches the Rfam family "Bacterial small subunit ribosomal RNA", at positions 29 to 507 of the family's 1533-position model. The record is from RNAcentral.
AUGAACGCUGGCGGCGUGCCUAAUACAUGCAAGUCGAGCGAACAGACGAGGAGCUUGCUCCUCUGACGUUAGCGGCGGACGGGUGAGUAACACGUGGAUAACCUACCUAUAAGACUGGGAUAACUUCGGGAAACCGGAGCUAAUACCGGAUAAUAUAUUGAACCGCAUGGUUCAAUAGUGAAAGACGGUUUUGCUGUCACUUAUAGAUGGAUCCGCGCCGCAUUAGCUAGUUGGUAAGGUAACGGCUUACCAAGGCAACGAUGCGUAGCCGACCUGAGAGGGUGAUCGGCCACCCUGGAACUGAGACACGGUCCAGACUCCUACGGGAGGCAGGCGUAGGGAAUCUUCCGCAAUGGGCGAAAGCCUGACGGAGCAACGCCGCGUGAGUGAUGAAGGUCUUCGGAUCGUAAAACUCUGUUAUUAGGGAAGAACAAAUGUGUAAGUAACUAUGCACGUCUUGACGGUACCUAAUCAGAAAGCCACGGCUAACUACGUG